AGAGCGAACGCUGGCGGCAGGCCUAACACAUGCAAGUCGAGCGCCCGUAGCAAUACGGGAGCGGCAGACGGGAUAGUAACACGUGGGAACGCGCCCUUCGGUUCGGAAUAACUCAGGGAAACUUGAGCUAAUACCGAAUACGCCCUUACGGGGAAAGAUUUAUUGCCGAAGGAACGGCCCGCGUCCGAUUAGCUAGUUGGUGAGGUAAUGGCUCACCAAGACGACGAUCGGUAGCUGGUCUGAGAGGAUGAUCAGCCUCACUGGGACUGAGACACGGCCCAGACUCCUACGGGAGGCAGCAGUGGGGAAUAUUGGACAAUGGGCGCAAGCCUGAUCCAGCCAUGCCGCGUGGGUGAUGAAGGCCCUAGGGUUGUAAAGCCCUUUCGGCGGGGAAGAUAAUGACGGUACCCGCAGAAGACGCCCGGCUAACUUCGUGCCAGCAGCCGC
Molecule: ribosomal RNA, 447 nt
Filed under: uncultured bacterium
Lineage: Bacteria
Description: SSU rRNA
Rfam family: Bacterial small subunit ribosomal RNA
Source: RNAcentral